GACGAACGCUGGCGGCGUGCUUAACACAUGCAAGUCGAACGGAAAGGCCCUGCUUUUGUGGGGUGCUCGAGUGGCGAACGGGUGAGUAACACGUGAGUAACCUGCCCUUGACUUUGGGAUAACUUCAGGAAACUGGGGCUAAUACCGGAUAGGAGCUCCUGCUGCAUGGUGGGGGUUGGAAAGUUUCGGCGGUUGGGGAUGGACUCGCGGCUUAUCAGCUUGUUGGUGGGGUAGUGGCUUACCAAGGCUUUGACGGGUAGCCGGCCUGAGAGGGUGACCGGCCACAUUGGGACUGAGAUACGGCCCAGACUCCUACGGGAGGCAGCAGAGGGGAGUAUUGCACAAUGGGCGGAAGCAUGAUGCAGCAACGCCGCGUGCGGGAUGACGGCUGUCGGGUAGUAAACCGCUUUCGCCUGUGACGAAGCGUGAGUGACAGUAAUGGGUAAAGAAGCACCGGCUAACUACGUG
This 468-nucleotide ribosomal RNA is filed under the name uncultured bacterium. RNAcentral's name for it is "partial 16S ribosomal RNA". It matches the Rfam family "Bacterial small subunit ribosomal RNA", at positions 28 to 507 of the family's 1533-position model. The record is from RNAcentral.